RNAcentral lists this long non-coding RNA (268 nucleotides) under Vigna radiata. RNAcentral describes it as "long non-coding RNA (VRAD_LNC002385)". Lineage: Eukaryota; Viridiplantae; Streptophyta; Magnoliopsida; Fabales; Fabaceae. The record is from RNAcentral.
GUCCCUAUAUGAAAGAUGAUCUUAGUUUAGUUGGUUUGAAAUAAAAAUAGGGUGAAGGUGAAUGACAUAUUUAUAAAGUUAAAGAAUAAAGUGAGGAUUUAAAAAGAUUAAAGAGAAAAUAAAAAUGGGCCAUAGAAAACAGUUGUUUAUUCCGUUAUUAUUUGAUUAGUAGUGUGUAUAAUAUGAGGGACCCACGUUGAGUAAGAUUCCAAUUUUGACUGGCGCAUGAACUCAAGGAAUCUUCAUAUCCCAAUCUUAUCCUUUUCCC